UACGUAGGGUGCGAGCGUUAACCGGAAUUACUGGGCGUAAAGCGUGCGCAGGCGGCUUUGCAAGACAGAUGUGAAAUCCCCGGGCUCAACCUGGGAACUGCAUUUGUGACUGCAAGGCUAGAGUACGGCAGAGGGGGAUGGAAUUCCGCGUGUAGCAGUGAAAUGCGUAGAUAUGCGGAGGAACACCAAUGGCGAAGGCAAUCCCCUGGACCUGUACUGACGCUCAUGCACGAAAGCGUGGGGAGCAAACAGG
Molecule: ribosomal RNA, 253 nt
Filed under: uncultured bacterium
Lineage: Bacteria
Description: partial 16S ribosomal RNA
Rfam family: Bacterial small subunit ribosomal RNA
Source: RNAcentral